This is a small nucleolar RNA of Pelodiscus sinensis (Chinese soft-shelled turtle), 93 nucleotides long. Ensembl annotates it as Z30 small nucleolar RNA. Its record names the gene SNORD7. Lineage: Eukaryota; Metazoa; Chordata; Testudines; Trionychidae. The record is from Ensembl.
GAGCGAUGAUGAGUGAAGCGGACUCUGACCUGGUAUUGCCCAGUUUGUCUGGCUCUGACCAGGGCGUGAUCACAAGAUCUUCUCUCUGAGCCG